This 527-nucleotide ribosomal RNA is filed under the name Candidozyma auris. RNAcentral's name for it is "eukaryotic LSU rRNA". It matches the Rfam family "Eukaryotic large subunit ribosomal RNA", at positions 65 to 658 of the family's 3401-position model. The record is from RNAcentral. Lineage: Eukaryota; Fungi; Ascomycota; Pichiomycetes; Serinales; Metschnikowiaceae.
CCAACAGGGAUUGCCUCAGUAACGGCGAGUGAAGCGGCAAGAGCUCAACUUUGGAAUCGCUCCGGCGAGUUGUAGUCUGGAGGUGGCCACCACGAGGUGUUCUAGCAGCAGGCAAGUCCUUUGGAACAAGGCGCCAGCGAGGGUGACAGCCCCGUACCUGCUUUUGCUAGUGCUUCCUGUGGCCCACCGACGAGUCGAGUUGUUUGGGAAUGCAGCUCUAAGUGGGUGGUAAAUUCCAUCUAAGGCUAAAUAUUGGCGAGAGACCGAUAGCGAACAAGUACAGUGAUGGAAAGAUGAAAAGCACUUUGAAAAGAGAGUGAAACAGUACGUGAAAUUGUUGAAAGGGAAGGGCUUGCACCCAGACACGGUUUCGGCCGGGCCAGCAUCAAGUAGAACGGGGUUAAAAGACCUGGGGAAUGUAGCUACCUCUUGGUAGUGUUAUAGCCCUUGGGUGAUGACCCCUGUUUUGCUUGAGGACAGCGGUCUCUAGGAUGCUGGCGCAAUGGUUGCAAGCCACCCGUCUUGAA